Molecule: ribosomal RNA, 478 nt
Filed under: uncultured bacterium
Lineage: Bacteria
Description: partial 16S ribosomal RNA
Rfam family: Bacterial small subunit ribosomal RNA
Source: RNAcentral
GACGAACGCUGGCGGCGUGCUUAACACAUGCAAGUCGAACGGUAAGGCCCUUCGGGGUACACGAGUGGCGAACGGGUGAGUAACACGUGGGUGAUCUGCCCUGCACUUUGGGAUAAGCCUGGGAAACUGGGUCUAAUACCGGAUAGGACUCCGGACUGCAUGGUCUGGGGUGGAAAGCUUUUGCGGUGUGGGAUGGGCCCGCGGCCUAUCAGCUUGUUGGUGGGGUGAUGGCCUACCAAGGCGCCGACGGGUAGCCGGCCUGAGAGGGUGACCGGCCACACUGGGACUGGGCUACGGCCCAGACUCCUACGGGAGGCAGCAGUGGGGAAUAUUGCACAAUGGGCGCAAGCCUGAUGCAGCGACGCCGCGUGAGGGAUGACGGCCUUCGGGUUGUAAACCUCUUUCAGCAUCGACGAAGCGAAAGUGACGGUAGGUGCAGAAGAAGGACCGGCCAACUACGUGCCAGCCGCCGCAGUAA